This is a long non-coding RNA of Alosa sapidissima (American shad), 665 nucleotides long. RefSeq lists it as uncharacterized. The transcript has 3 exons. The record is from RefSeq and is a predicted model, not a curated record. NCBI's taxonomy places the organism in Eukaryota, Metazoa, Chordata, Actinopteri, Clupeiformes, Clupeidae.
CACAGCACAUCCUGCUCCAGGUCUUUGAUGAAGAACUGACAGUUGGAGUUCCACUUGGGGUUCAGCGUGUCCUGCAGGGUCUUGGUGAUGUGGCACUGCGACCCCAUCGUCACCUCACAACACUUUCACCCAAUGACACUUAUAAUUCAGGAACAACAAUCAAGCAUCAGGAUGUUCGGAGACCUUUUGAGCAGCAAAGUGAUUCUAGUUGAUAUGAGCAUGUGAGAGGAGAGCAGGCACAGGAAGUGCACUGUCAGUGUGAGAAUGCUACAGUGUCCUAACUGCAUGUGACGUGAGCGAGCAUUACUGUAGCAACAAUUUCAGUUUGAUUACAUCAUAUUUUCUUUGAAGUCGCUUGCAUUGUUCUGCUAUGUUGAACAAGAGGUAUGACACAAUAGCAUCAGCAUGUUUAACAGAGAGAGUGGACAGAGAAAACUCAAGGCUACGCCACAGUCAGACCCUCGCAUGCAGUUAGGAUGAACUGUUAGGAGUGUGUUAGAAGUGUUUUAAAGGAAUGUGUAUAGAAGAGCAUGCAAGAGCCCAGGAAAAGUACUACUAGUAAAUAUUUCCCUCUCAUUGCAUCAACAGGCAUUUCCAGGAAAUUGUGAGCACUGAGGGUCAGAGGGUGCUUUUGCGCCCACUUCAGGCGUAUUUGUUUCGCAAUG